Molecule: non-coding RNA, 254 nt
Filed under: uncultured bacterium
Lineage: Bacteria
Also listed under: 2 other names
Description: partial 16S ribosomal RNA
Rfam family: Bacterial small subunit ribosomal RNA
Source: RNAcentral
UACGUAGGGGCCUAGCGUUGUCCGGAAUCAUUGGGCGUAAAGAGCUCGUAGGCGGUUCGGCAAGUCACGUGUGAAAUCUCCACGCUUAACGUGGAGGCGCCACGUGAAACUGCCGUGACUCGAGUCCGGUAGGGGAGUGUGGAAUUCCCGGUGUAGCGGUGAAAUGCGCAGAUAUCGGGAGGAACACCAGUAGCGAAGGCGGCACUCUGGGCCGGUACUGACGCUGAGGAGCGAAAGCGUGGGGAGCGAACAGG